Molecule: ribosomal RNA, 234 nt
Filed under: Corticiaceae sp.
Lineage: Eukaryota; Fungi; Basidiomycota; Agaricomycetes; Corticiales; Corticiaceae
Description: partial large subunit ribosomal RNA
Source: RNAcentral
CUUGAAGUCAGUCGCGUCUUCUGGAACUCAGCCUUGCUCUUGCUUGGUGUACUUUCUAGUUGACGGGUCAACAUCAAUUUUGGUUGGUGGAUAAAGAUUGAAGGAAUGUGGCAUCUUCGGAUGUGUUAUAGCCUUUGAUCGCAUACACUGGCUGGGAUUGAGGACUGCAGCACGCCUUUAUGGCCAGGGUUCGCCCAUGUAACGUGCUUAGGAUGUUGGCAUAAUGGCUUUAAG